RNAcentral lists this transfer RNA (76 nucleotides) under Pseudoflavonifractor sp. 524-17. RNAcentral describes it as "tRNA-Thr". It matches the Rfam family "tRNA". Rfam says of the family: Transfer RNA (tRNA) molecules are approximately 80 nucleotides in length. Their secondary structure includes four short double-helical elements and three loops (D, anti-codon, and T loops). The record is from RNAcentral. Lineage: Bacteria; Bacillati; Bacillota; Clostridia; Eubacteriales; Oscillospiraceae.
GCUAGUGUAGCUCAGUCGGUAGAGCAGCUGAUUCGUAAUCAGCAGGUCAGGUGUUCAAGUCACCCCACUAGCUCCA